AUUGAACGCUGGCGGCAGGCCUAACACAUGCAAGUCGAGCGGAUGAAGGGAGCUUGCUCCUGGAUUCAGCGGCGGACGGGUGAGUAAUGCCUAGGAAUCUGCCUGGUAGUGGGGGAUAACGUCCGGAAACGGGUGCUAAUACCGCAUACGUCCUGAGGGAGAAAGUGGGGGAUCUUCGGACCUCACGCUAUCAGAUGAGCCUAGGUCGGAUUAGCUAGUUGGUGGGGUAAAGGCCUACCAAGGCGACGAUCCGUAACUGGUCUGAGAGGAUGAUCAGUCAAAUGAGCAGUGGACGCCGGUCCUCAUUCGGCAGGGAGGAGUGUGAGAGAAAAAUUGGAGAAUGGACGAAAGCCUGAUACAGCCAUCGAGCGUGUGUGAAGUAGGUGUUCGGUUUGAAAAGAUGUGUGAGGUGGGAGGAAGGGCAGUAAGUAAAUACCUUGCUGUUUUAACGUUAAUAACAGAAUACGCACCGCCUCACUGCGUGCCGUCGGCAGCGGUAAUCGUCGAACAGCACACGUCUGAAU
RNAcentral lists this ribosomal RNA (524 nucleotides) under uncultured bacterium. RNAcentral's name for it is "partial 16S ribosomal RNA". It matches the Rfam family "Bacterial small subunit ribosomal RNA", at positions 33 to 541 of the family's 1533-position model. The record is from RNAcentral.